Molecule: long non-coding RNA, 963 nt
Organism: Gasterosteus aculeatus aculeatus (three-spined stickleback)
Lineage: Eukaryota; Metazoa; Chordata; Actinopteri; Perciformes; Gasterosteidae
Source: Ensembl
AAAAGGUACCUACAAUUAGCAUUGCAUUUAGAAAUGUUGAUGGAAGAACAAGUUGGCCAUUCCAAUGCUCUAUUUUUUAACUUUCAGGCUUUGAUUAUCCUAGAGGUCACAACAGGUCAUAUUCAAAAGUGUCAAUCAAAGUCAAUCAAAAGUCAUCACGUCAUCACACAUGAAUGAAAUAAUCUCAGCUUUCUAGUCAAAUCCAAUAAUGCAAUUGGAAGAAUGUUUAGAAACAUGCAGAAAUAUUGGUUCCCAAUAUAUUUCAUUGACAUUCUUGAGCGGAGAGGUGAAGGGAAAUUUCCAGUCUUUAAGACGUUAUAUUAAGAUAUUACACGAUCACGUCAGUAGAGGGCGCUGUGGUGCUGCUGUGGAGACAUUGGAGAGAACGUAGCUACAGGCUCCGCUCAUGCGCAGCUCAGAAUAAAACUAGCUCUGGUUUGAGCAUGACGCUAACGUGUGUCCUCUCUUCAUAUUAAUCCACAGGCUACACAGUGCUUCCUAGCCUGUGUAACCUUUGCUGCCGGUCCAGAUUACCUCUAGGUCUGGUGCCGGUAACAAUUGGGGGCUCGUCCGGGAUACUCUAGCGUCCUUACCAGGCUGCGACAUUCGAGAGAGGAGAUAUAGCAGUCGACCAGCCGGGAGGCCACACUCCACCUCAUCCGGACUACAACCAUCCAGGCAGACAUCCAACUUCACCAACCACAGACAUUCCCCUACAACCAGCCGGGAGCUCCACCACUCCAGCAUCGACCAAGUCAUUCACAGCAGGUGUUCGGGGUGCUCACCAUGGGAGGAUGCUACAUUGAAGAAGUGGCCGGCAGCCAGCCGUGGGCAGAUAGGCACAGCUAUAAAUUCCAAGCUUGCAGAGAUGCGAAGAUCCAUGAAAUGAUUUUUUUUCCUUUCCAUUUUUUUGUUGUUUUUGUACAUUUUGAUAGUCCUUAAAUAAAUAAUGUAAAUUUCUAC